UACGUAGGUGGCAAGCGUUGUCCGGAUUUAUUGGGUUUAAAGGGUGCGUAGGCGGUCUAGUAAGUCAGCGGUGAAAUACUCCAGCUUAACUGGAGGGGUGCCAUUGAUACUGAUGGACUUGAGUCAAGUCGAGGUAGGCGGAAUUGACGGUGUAGCGGUGAAAUGCUUAGAUAUCGUCAAGAACACCAAUAGUGAAGACAGCUUACUGGGCUUAAACUGACGCUGAGGCACGAAAGUGUGGGGAGCAAACAGG
RNAcentral lists this ribosomal RNA (253 nucleotides) under uncultured bacterium. RNAcentral describes it as "partial 16S ribosomal RNA". It matches the Rfam family "Bacterial small subunit ribosomal RNA", at positions 524 to 776 of the family's 1533-position model. The record is from RNAcentral.